Tinamus guttatus (white-throated tinamou) is the source of this 165-nucleotide non-coding RNA. NCBI's taxonomy places the organism in Eukaryota, Metazoa, Chordata, Aves, Tinamiformes, Tinamidae. The record is from RefSeq and is a predicted model, not a curated record.
CUCCAGUGAAUACUUGGAAGCACAUCAGGCUGAGUUGGAUUAUCUCUCUGGUCGUCACAAAGAUACGAAGAGGAAUUCCAGAUUGGCCUUCUAUUAUGACCUGGAUAAGCAAAUUCGCUCUGUGGAGAGAUACAUCAGAAAACUGGAGUUUCACAUAAGCAAGGU